GAUUAACGCUGGCGGCGUGCCUGACACAUGCAAGUCGAACGGGCGAAGGGCUUCGGCCCCUAGCUAGUGGCGGACGGGUGAGUAACACGUGAGGAACCUACCCUCAAGUGGGGAAUAACUGCCAGAAAUGGCAGCUAAUACCGCAUGUGGUUGUCUGAGGACAUCCUCGGACACCUAAAGAUUUAUCGCUUGAGGACGGCCUCGCGGCCUAUUAGCUUGUUGGUGGGGUAAUGGCCUACCAAGGCGAUGAUGGGUAGCUGGUCUGAGAGGACGACCA
Molecule: ribosomal RNA, 277 nt
Filed under: uncultured bacterium
Lineage: Bacteria
Description: partial 16S ribosomal RNA
Rfam family: Bacterial small subunit ribosomal RNA
Source: RNAcentral